Molecule: long non-coding RNA, 491 nt
Organism: Vanessa tameamea
Lineage: Eukaryota; Metazoa; Arthropoda; Insecta; Lepidoptera; Nymphalidae
Exons: 2
Source: RefSeq, a predicted model, not a curated record
GUAAAACCAUUUAAAUAAUUAAUGAUUUAAGCUCUAGUAACUAUUUUGACCAGUGUCACAAAUCAUUUGACACUUGACAGCAAUGAACAUUAUGUUUUGACGAGUAUUAUCAAAAAGUUACAAAAUACGUUUUAAUUAAUAUUUUAAUAUUCAACGACGUAGAAAUGUUUAUCAAAGUAUUCGUAUUCGUUUUUGCUUUGCUAGCUGUGAGUAAUGUCGAGGCAGCACACAGUUAUGAUUUUGGUGACUUCUUGGCGACAGUUUUAGGGGUGGGAAUAACUCUUACUGGUAUAUUCGCGUGCUUAGGUAAUUACGCCAGAAAGAAGGCAAGAAACGAGUUUAUAUAGAUUAUUUUCACGUAUCACUUCAAGAUAAUGAGACUACAAUUAUCCUCAAAUUACCACAAAUAUUAAAGAAUUUUUAUCAUGUAGCAAAGAAGUGUAUUUUUAUAUUGCACAAUAUUUUCUUUAAGUACAUCUGUAUAAUGGAAU